Molecule: long non-coding RNA, 1187 nt
Filed under: Salvator merianae (Argentine black and white tegu)
Lineage: Eukaryota; Metazoa; Chordata; Lepidosauria; Squamata; Teiidae
Description: lncRNA (ENSSMRG00000010351.1)
Source: RNAcentral
GCCAGCAGCAGAUCAGGGCACUGUUGCCCAUGCGAUGGCAGAGCUGGUUUUUCCAGGUGUAGCAGCGACUGUUUGGCUCCUGCUUAAAUGAGGGAAGGGAAACCCAAGCAGCAGAACGAGUCCUUUGGCUCUGGGGGCUCUCUGGGACUAAAUGCGCUGGGAAGUUCCUUUGUUUGUUUGUUGUUACCCACUUCCGGGUGUCUCCCUCCUGGGCUCCAAGAAGCGCCACCAGGCCAGAUCGGCAAGGCUUUCGCAGUACUGGAGGAGUCCCUGGGCGUAUCCAAAGGCAGCCCGAACAUUAUUAAUACAAGAUGUAGCACCAAGGAGUUGGGCUCGCUCAAGAUGUGCUUUCUUGGGCAAAUUACUCCUGCUGGUGUUGGAGAUGCCCUCAGAGUCGGUGAAGGUUAAAGAAGCUUUUUCAUUGUUCUCCUCUCAGAUAGAAUGUCCAUAAUACAAUGCCUGGACCUUUCCCUUUUUCUGUUUUUAAAGUGUGGUGUGGCCACUCCUUGUAGAAUGCUACUGAAGACCUUUAUCUGGUGGCCUGGAAGAAGCCCCUGGGCCAAGGGUGCUCACCUGCUCCCCCCAGAAGGUCCUGCACCACCACUCUGUACUCCUGUAAGGCCGGGGCUUUCUGGUUCAGGAGCACCUGGGCACUCCUGCUGCGGACUGUAGCCAGCCCUCCUUGUCCUGCCAUUCUGUGAAGAGCAACGCCAUGCAACAACCCUUCCUUUCCGUGCAAUCCUGCACGCCUAACAGGUUUCUCUGGGACCCAGCAUUGUUCGGGAUGCGCCCUGGAAGCCCCACACCCGGCAGCUCGCGGCAGCAUCUGAUGCACUCUUGGGAGGCGCCAGCGCCCAGAAGCAGCUAAUCCCUGACCCAAGAGCCACCCUGGUGGAGGAGCAUCUUUGCCAUCAAGCGGCCCAGAGCCAGGACCUCCUCCCACGCGUCUCGGCUGAGAGAGUCUGCCUUUGGGGGAAAAGACGGCAGUUUGAAUAAGCUCCGUGAUCGUCACAUGGACAGGAACCCUUCCAGCAGCGGGUGCACAGCAGUGUUUAGAUGCCCGCGUUUGGCAGGACAGAGUAUCCACCGGUCGGCAGCUUACAAGCUUCCAUAUGCAAAAUCACACCGAGAUCAAAAUAAUCCAGGGACCGGCAUUGGGCUCAAAAUAAAACCGCAAAGGAACGACA